Molecule: ribosomal RNA, 496 nt
Filed under: uncultured bacterium
Lineage: Bacteria
Description: partial 16S ribosomal RNA
Rfam family: Bacterial small subunit ribosomal RNA
Source: RNAcentral
GAUGAACGCUGGCGGCGUGCCUAAUACAUGCAAGUCGAGCGAACGGACGAGAAGCUUGCUUUUCUGAUGUUAGCGGCGGACGGGUGAGUAACACGUGGAUAACCUACCUAUAAGACUGGGAUAACUUCGGGAAACCGGAGCUAAUACCGGAUAAUAUUUUGAACCGCAUGGUUCAAAAGUGAAAGACGGUCUUGCUGUCACUUAUAGAUGGAUCCGCGCUGCAUUAGCUAGUUGGUAAGGUAACGGCUACCAAGGCAACGAUGCAUAGCCGACCUGAGAGGGUGAUCGGCCACACUGGAACUGAGACACGGUCCAGACUCCUACGGGAGGCAGCAGUAGGGAAUCUUCCGCAAUGGGCGAAAGCCUGACGGAGCAACGCCGCGUGAGUGAUGAAGGUCUUCGGAUCGUAAAACUCUGUUAUUAGGGAAGAACAUAUGUGUAAGUAACUGUGCACAUCUUGACGGUACCUAAUCAGAAAGCCACGGCUAACUACGUG